UUUUUGGAGAGUUUGAUCCUGGCUCAGGACGAACGCUGGCGGCGUGCCUAAUACAUGCAAGUCGAGCGGACUUUUAAA
Molecule: ribosomal RNA, 78 nt
Filed under: Heyndrickxia shackletonii
Lineage: Bacteria; Bacillati; Bacillota; Bacilli; Caryophanales; Bacillaceae
Description: partial 16S ribosomal RNA
Rfam family: Bacterial small subunit ribosomal RNA
Source: RNAcentral